Molecule: long non-coding RNA, 338 nt
Filed under: Androctonus crassicauda
Lineage: Eukaryota; Metazoa; Arthropoda; Arachnida; Scorpiones; Buthidae
Source: RNAcentral
GUACUGAAAAUGGUCAGGAACAAACUUUUUCCCAACAACAUAACUUUUGAAGAUAAUACCUUUGCUUGUCGACAAUGGAUGACAAAGUUUUGACAACUGAAGCAUUGAAUGAAGCUGAAAUAAUCAAAUCAUUAAUGAACAGAGAAAAUGAAGGUGGUCAAAAAAGCGAAAAUUCAGAAUCUGAUGAAGAAGAAAAAAAAUUACCAUCUUUGUCAGAAGCCUUUGUUGCUCAAGACACUGUCUGUCGUUUUUUGCUUGGCAUUGAGAAUUCAUUUAAUUACCCAAACAGCAUUGAUAAUAUCCAAGACUUUCUCAGAAAAUAUCAAGAAAGAAACAAA